RNAcentral lists this ribosomal RNA (328 nucleotides) under uncultured eukaryote. RNAcentral's name for it is "partial 18S ribosomal RNA". It matches the Rfam family "Eukaryotic small subunit ribosomal RNA", at positions 1470 to 1796 of the family's 1831-position model. The record is from RNAcentral.
CCCUUAGAUGUCCUGGGCCGCACGCGCGUUACACUGAUGCAUUCAACGAGCUUAUAACCUUGGCCGAGAGGCCUGGGCAAUCUUGUUAACGUGCAUCGUGAUGGGGAUAGAUUAUUGAAAUUAUUAAUCUUGAACGAGGAAUUCCUAGUAAACGCAGAUCAUCAAUCUGCAUUGAUUACGUCCCUGCCCUUUGUACACACCGCCCGUCGCUACUACCGAUUGAAUGGCUUAGUGAGCUUUCUGGACUGUUGCGCUUCGUUGGAAACUUCGUUGUGCAUACGGGAAGGAAAUCAAACUUGAUCAUUUAGAGGAAGUAAAAGUCGUAACA